This 845-nucleotide ribosomal RNA is filed under the name Escherichia coli. RNAcentral's name for it is "partial 23S ribosomal RNA". It matches the Rfam family "Bacterial large subunit ribosomal RNA", at positions 1 to 888 of the family's 2925-position model. The record is from RNAcentral. Lineage: Bacteria; Pseudomonadati; Pseudomonadota; Gammaproteobacteria; Enterobacterales; Enterobacteriaceae.
GGUUAAGCGACUAAGCGUACACGGUGGAUGCCCUGGCAGUCAGAGGCGAUGAAGGACGUGCUAAUCUGCGAUAAGCGUCGGUAAGGUGAUAUGAACCGUUAUAACCGGCGAUUUCCGAAUGGGGAAACCCAGUGUGUUUCGACACACUAUCAUUAACUGAAUCCAUAGGUUAAUGAGGCGAACCGGGGGAACUGAAACAUCUAAGUACCCCGAGGAAAAGAAAUCAACCGAGAUUCCCCCAGUAGCGGCGAGCGAACGGGGAGCAGCCCAGAGCCUGAAUCAGUGUGUGUGUUAGUGGAAGCGUCUGGAAAGGCGCGCGAUACAGGGUGACAGCCCCGUACACAAAAAUGCACAUACUGUGAGCUCGAUGAGUAGGGCGGGACACGUGGUAUCCUGUCUGAAUAUGGGGGGACCAUCCUCCAAGGCUAAAUACUCCUGACUGACCGAUAGUGAACCAGUACCGUGAGGGAAAGGCGAAAAGAACCCCGGCGAGGGGAGUGAAAAAGAACCUGAAACCGUGUACGUACAAGCAGUGGGAGCACGCUUCGGCGUGUGACUGCGUACCUUUUGUAUAAUGGGUCAGCGACUUAUAUUCUGUAGCAAGGUUAACCGAAUAGGGGAGCCGAAGGGAAACCGAGUCUUAACUGGGCGUUAAGUUGCAGGGUAUAGACCCGAAACCCGGUGAUCUAGCCAUGGGCAGGUUGAAGGUUGGGUAACACUAACUGGAGGACCGAACCGACUAAUGUUGAAAAAUUAGCGGAUGACUUGUGGCUGGGGGUGAAAGGCCAAUCAAACCGGGAGAUAGCUGGUUCUCCCCGAAAGCUAUUUAGGUAGCGCCUCGUGAA